RNAcentral lists this transfer RNA (76 nucleotides) under Pigmentiphaga litoralis. RNAcentral's name for it is "tRNA-Val". It matches the Rfam family "tRNA". From Rfam's summary of the family: Transfer RNA (tRNA) molecules are approximately 80 nucleotides in length. Their secondary structure includes four short double-helical elements and three loops (D, anti-codon, and T loops). Further hydrogen bonds mediate the characteristic L-shaped molecular structure. tRNAs have two regions of fundamental functional importance: the anti-codon, which is responsible for specific mRNA codon recognition, and the 3' end, to which the tRNAs corresponding amino acid is attached (by aminoacyl-tRNA synthetases). tRNAs cope with the degeneracy of the genetic code in two manners: having more than one tRNA (with a specific anti-codon) for a particular amino acid; and 'wobble' base-pairing, i.e. permitting non-standard base-pairing at the 3rd anti-codon position. Lineage: Bacteria; Pseudomonadati; Pseudomonadota; Betaproteobacteria; Burkholderiales; Alcaligenaceae. The record is from RNAcentral.
GGGCGCUUAGCUCAGCUGGUAGAGCGGCGCCCUUACAAGGCGUAGGUCGGGGGUUCGAACCCCUCAGCGCCCACCA